Molecule: RNA transcript, 1840 nt
Organism: Rosa rugosa (rugosa rose)
Lineage: Eukaryota; Viridiplantae; Streptophyta; Magnoliopsida; Rosales; Rosaceae
Exons: 4
Source: RefSeq, a predicted model, not a curated record
UAUCUCUUGCAGCGGUAUACUUUCUGAUAGUCUUGGGAAGAAGGAUAGUGUCGGUUCUCCUACAUUAGCAUUCUUGGAAUUUUGGGAGCUGCAGCUGUGCGAGUUCAAGAGGUUUAUUAAGACUGGUAGUACUAGGUUGUGUCCGAAAGUUAGUAGUGAGAACAAGAGGCUGCUCCGCAGUAGCACUGUCAUGGGUGUGAUGUCUAGACUGAACCUUCCCUAUACCGAGGUAUACUCGAAUGGUAUAGAGCGAGUGGUUGGUCAUCUUAAAGGUGGGAAUGAUUCUGUGGCGGACUUGAUUACCACAAGAAUAGAGAAGGGUGACAAGUCUGUGGUAAAAGGCAAAGUCAGAACUACUAAGAAUGGAGAAGAGAGUAAAAGGAAGGUUCACCGCUUCAAACCUAAGGUGGCAAAGGACCGCAUUCCUCCCCUGGUUGUCAAAAGCGCCUUUGGUGUUAGAGUGAUACUACCGUCUGAUUUGGUUGAUGGAAAAGGGAAGAAGAGGAAAACUGCUUCUAGCUCAAAAUAGAGUAGAGCUACUAAGCUAAAGGUUACACGUGAUGCCUCACCCACUGUCCUCAGGCGAAGUUCCCGCGUUGCCAACAUGAGUUUUUCAAAACGUAAACCUUCGUCUAAGGGCGCUGUUUAUGUUGAUCUUAGUGAUGCGCCAAGUGACGACAGCGAGGGUAGCCCCCUUAGUGAUAAUGUUGACACAUAUGAGGAGAAUGAUUCUGACACUUAUGAGGAAAGGGUCUGUGAUGAUGGUAACCAGCUGGAAUCCCUUGAAGAUAGGGGUAAUGACGAUUGGGGUAAUCGAAACGUGACUUUGAAUGAGGGGGAUCACUGCAGUGAUAACCCAGUAUGUAACCAAACUCGGGUUUCUGUACUCUUGCAUGAAUUAUAUAUAUAUAUAUAUAUAUUACUCUGUUCACAUGUGAUUUGUUAGGACAUUGGCACUGAUGAUUUGGGGAAAGAAUCUGUUGCAGAUGGUAGCCUUUGCGCGGGUGACCAUAAUGAGCCGGGUGGAUCAGUUUUGUUGACAGUUGGAAGGACAUCGUUUGAGCCCCACGUCCCUAAGACAGUACCAAGGGAUAAUGGUGUUGCUGCUGUAAUCUUGACCAAUAGAGGGAUUCCACUUUGUGCUACCUCCGAUUGCUCUCUUGCUCCUAACUCAGAUAAAUCAGAAAAGGUGUCAAAAGCUGAUUUGGAGAUGCGUUUUAGGAAAUUUACUUCUUCUUUUGACACUGAGGAUCGCUUGAGUAUUACUAUUGAUGAUAUUGCACGCCCAUUGAGUAGUAUCCAAUCUUCAUUUGAGGGUGGAAAAGUGCCUUCAGAGUUUGUGGCUCCACUCACUAAAUUCGCGGAAAGGUAUGGUGGAGGUAGCUUCUCUAGCUUGUUUGCAGAAGGAAAAAGUGCCCGCCAGAAGCAAAAAUUGGUUGAGGAGUUCGGUUCUGUGUUGUAUAGCAUGGAGACUGAGGAAGUAAAAAAUGAGGAGACUUUCUUGAUUUGGAGGGAUGCAUGUCGUGACAUCAUAGAUUGGGGGCUUAAAGUCGACUUUAUGCUUGAUCAUUUGAAGCAAGCUGCUAGAGAUUUUUUUGGUUAUAUGCUCAGGCCCAGUGGAUCAGAGAGUAGUUGCAGGGAGAUCAUCCAAAUGGAGGAAGCUAUAUCCCAGUUGAGGAAAAAGCUUUUGCAUCUUGAACAAAAAUUAGGAGAGGCGCGGGAAGACUUACACCUUAGGCUUGGUGAUGACAUUAGCUCAGACAGCAUGUCCUGCAUAUUAGGAUCCUCUUGGGUUCCUCAAAGUCGUGCAAGUCGUGGCCUGUAUUAGUUUUGCUUUGUA